This 879-nucleotide unclassified non-coding RNA is filed under the name uncultured Synechococcus sp. RNAcentral's name for it is "partial may contain 16S ribosomal RNA, 16S-23S ribosomal RNA intergenic spacer, and 23S ribosomal RNA". The stretch from base 348 to 420 matches the Rfam family "tRNA". The record is from RNAcentral. Lineage: Bacteria; Bacillati; Cyanobacteriota; Cyanophyceae; Synechococcales; Synechococcaceae.
CGUCGAAGGUGGGGCUGAUGACUGGGGUGAAGUCGUAACAAGGUAUCCGUACCGGAAGGUGCGGAUGGAUCACCUCCUAACAGGGAGACAACACAAUGAUUUUGAUGCCUGAGUGCUUUUAUUCUUAGGCCGAAAUCCUGUCACCUUAGGUCGAUCGGUACCUCAGCUUUGAAGUCAAGAAUCAGCAGCAAUGUUGAUUGCUUGAUGGAGAUUUUCAGUUCCUAAACUUUGUCUAGGUCACACCCCAAAAGGGAUGAGACUCCUGGGCCAUUAGCUCAGGUGGUUAGAGCGCACCCCUGAUAAGGGUGAGGUCCCUGGUUCAAGUCCAGGAUGGCCCAUUCGGUGUUGGGGGUUUAGCUCAGUUGGUAGAGCGCCUGCUUUGCAAGCAGGAUGUCAGGAGUUCGAGUCUCCUAACCUCCACUGACCGAACUUGAUUCCCAUCUCCAAUUUUUUGGAGUUGAGCUCGAUUGGAGUGUGAUUUAGAUGUGUCCGCUGGAUGACCCCAGCUUCCUGUCAUUCCAAGUUUUAGGUUGAAGCCUUGAAUUUGGUUGAUAAGAUGCUGGGCUCGGAUCAAAUAAUCAAGUAAUUGAUGAUUUGAUUUGAAGUUCUAGCAGAACCUUGACAACUGCAUAGGUGAGUCUGGAAAAAACAAAGCAUCUUACAGAUGCAUUGUUUUGAAUCUAAUCUUCUGAAAAGGAGAUUGGAUCUAGAACAAUGAAAAUUCUUUUGAGCAAGAGCCGAGACUCUUGAACGUUCUUUGAUUUGUGUCGAGCGAAUCAGAGUUUGAUCUUGUUUUUAGCAAUAAAAACUUGAGAAUCUGCUUUCAACGGCGGUAAGCGUUCAGGAGGUUAAUUGGUCAAGCUACAAAGGGCUCACGGC